RNAcentral lists this ribosomal RNA (403 nucleotides) under uncultured bacterium. RNAcentral's name for it is "partial 16S ribosomal RNA". It matches the Rfam family "Bacterial small subunit ribosomal RNA", at positions 30 to 526 of the family's 1533-position model. The record is from RNAcentral.
AUUGAACGCUGGCGGCAGGCCUAACACAUGCAAGUCGAGCGAGCGGCGGACGGGUGAGUAAUGUAUGGGGACUGCCCGAUAGAGGGGGAUAACUCCUGGAAACGGUAGCUAAUACCGCAUACGAUCGGAUAACCCAUAUGGGAUUAGCGAGUAGGGGGGGUAAUGGCUCACCUAGGCGCCGGUCCCUAGCUGGUCUGAGAGGAUGAUCAGCCAACCUGGGACGGAGACACGGCCCAGACUCCUACGGAGGCAGCAGUGGGGAAUAUUGCACAAUGGGCGCAAGCCUGAUGCAGCCAUUCCGCGUGUAUGAAGAGGGCCCUAGGGUUGUAAAGUACUUUCAGCCGGGAGGCGUUACCGACAGAAGAAGCACCGGCUAACUCCGUGCCAGCAGCCGCGGUAAUAC